GCCCAGAUAAGCUGAAAUUCCGUUCCGAUUCCGUUCCGUUUUGACGUUGUGGAUCGCAGUGGAACUUAUGUUCAACCCUGUGCAUAUGUCUAAACCAGAGCAAAACAAAUCGAUCAUCUCUUUUUCUCCUAUCAAUUUUUCUUUCGUGUGUCAUCAUGCGUUGCGUUACCAGUCAGAAAGAGAUAAAAAACUUUGUUUACAUAUAGUAUUAAAAGCAGCAAACGAAAAUUUCAAUCACAUUUUAAAUCUUUCUGCAAUUAAAAAUAUAUAUUAGCAAAAGUUUUUCACUACAAUCGGAGCAUAAAAAAGUUCCGGAAGUGCUUGUGGAGUUUUGUUGUUGUUUUUCCGAAUAGUAAGCUAGCGAGAGUGGAUAUUUUUUAACACCAUGUCAACAAAAAUGACAAAUUGUUGAUGAGCGAUGUACGGUUGAAAUAAUGCCUGAUGAUAAAUUCUAUUCUAUUGCGAACAAUAAAUCACCUUUGUGUAUUGGUAUUAUGAUGUUUGAAGGCUCUUUUGUAUGGCAAUACAAAUUACGAAAUUACAACGAGUGAAACGUGUUAGCAUCUUUGAUACACAGCUGCUAUUUGGACCAGCGAUCAUGCAGUUUUGAAGGCUACACGUGGAAAUGGAUACCCUCGAUACGAGAUUUCAACGUGCCAUAAUGCGAUUUGGAGCUGGCUGAUAACUAUUCGACUAAAACUAUAUAAGGAAUAGACAAACGAAUGAAAUAUCA
Topomyia yanbarensis is the source of this 733-nucleotide long non-coding RNA. RefSeq lists it as uncharacterized. The record is from RefSeq and is a predicted model, not a curated record. The transcript has 2 exons. Lineage: Eukaryota; Metazoa; Arthropoda; Insecta; Diptera; Culicidae.